RNAcentral lists this ribosomal RNA (410 nucleotides) under uncultured Clostridium sp. Its description in RNAcentral is "bacterial SSU rRNA". It matches the Rfam family "Bacterial small subunit ribosomal RNA", at positions 355 to 794 of the family's 1533-position model. Lineage: Bacteria; Bacillati; Bacillota; Clostridia; Eubacteriales; Clostridiaceae. The record is from RNAcentral.
UGGGGGAUAUUGCACAAUGGGGGAAACCCUGAUGCAGCAACGCCGCGUGAAGGAAGAAGGUCUUCGGAUUGUAAACUUUUGUCCUUGGUGAAGAUAAUGACGGUAGCCAAGGAGGAAGCUCCGGCUAACUACGUGCCAGCAGCCGCGGUAAUACGUAGGGAGCGAGCGUUGUCCGGAUUUACUGGGUGUAAAGGGUGCGUAGGCGGAAGAGCAAGUCAGUAGUGAAAUCCAUGGGCUUAACCCGUGAACUGCUAUUCUUGAGUGAAGUAGAGACAGGCGGAAUUCCUAGUGUAGCGGUGAAAUGCGUAGAUAUUAGGAGGAACACCAGUGGCGAAGGCGGCCUGCUGGGCUUUUACUGACGCUGAGGCUCGAAAGUGUGGGGAGCAAACAGGAUUAGAUACCCUGGUAGU